This 407-nucleotide long non-coding RNA is filed under the name Mus pahari (shrew mouse). RNAcentral describes it as "lncRNA (MGP_PahariEiJ_G0005798.1)". The record is from RNAcentral. Lineage: Eukaryota; Metazoa; Chordata; Mammalia; Rodentia; Muridae.
GACGCUGCAGAGUCCAAGGCCAUUCAGGGCAUCACAUGUCGGAGGAGAAUCUGCCUCGGAAUAAAUCACAUGGCUUGAACUCGGUGACUCACUGAAAUACACAGUUAGGCUAUGUCACACCUGUUAUCCCAGAGUUUAGAAAGACGAGGCAGGAAGACGGGGAACUCAAGACAAGUGUGAUCGAUAUCAUGAGUUCUCAGCUAAAACAAACCCAACAGCUUGGUGGUUGAGAUCACACCCUGCUCCUCUGGAUGACCCAAGUUCUAUUCCCAGUACCCACAAUGGGGGGCUUACACCUCCCUGUAACUCCAGCACCUCUGGACCAGUGCACGAACACCUCCUUGUCCAUAUGUAUAAUUAGAACUUGAUAAAAUAGAAUAGAAUAAAAUAAAACAAUCAAGAACUGA